UCCGAUUUAUCAUCGGCAGUCUCGUUAGAGUGCUCAACUGAAUGGUAGCAACUAACAAUAGGGGUUGCGCUCGUUGCGGGACUUAACCCAACAUCUCACGACACGAGCUGACGACGGCCAUGCAACACCUGUACAUACCCGGCCGAACCGAAGAAAUCUGUUUCCAGAAAUCAAAAUAUGUAUGUCAAGGGCUGGUAAGGUUCCUCGCGUAUCAUCGAAUUAAACAACAUGCUCCACCGCUUGUGCGGGUCCCCGUCAAUUCCUUUGAGUUUUAGCCUUGCGGCCGUACUCCCCAGGCGGGGUGCUUAAUGCGUUAGCUUCGGCACGGACGGAGUCGACACCGCCCACACCUAGCACCCAUCGUUUACGGCGUGGACUAC
Molecule: unclassified non-coding RNA, 380 nt
Filed under: uncultured Pseudomonadota bacterium
Lineage: Bacteria; Pseudomonadati; Pseudomonadota
Description: uncultured proteobacterium contains 16S-23S intergenic spacer region
Source: RNAcentral